AUUCCAGCUCCAAUAGCGUAUAUUAAAGUUGUUGCAGUUAAAAAGCUCGUAGUUGGAUUUCUGGCGGGAGUCCGGGUCGGCCUUAACGGGUUGCACUGUUGUGACGUCUCGCCGUUUCGAGGGGAAUGGGCUCGCUAUUAGGUUAGUGUGUUCGGGAACCUCGUCGUUUACUGUGAAAAAAUUAGAGUGUUCAAAGCAGGCCUUUGCUGUGAAUACAUUAGCAUGGAAUAAUAAGAUAGGACUGUAGUGCUAUUUUGUUGGUUUGCGUACUAUGGUAAUGAUUAAUAGGGAUAGUUGGGGGUAUUCAUAUUCAAUUGUCAGAGGUGAAAUUCUUGGAUUUAUGGAAGAUGAACUACUGCGAAAGCAUUUACCAAGGAUGUUUUCAUUA
This 388-nucleotide ribosomal RNA is filed under the name Stramenopiles sp. MAST-7B. RNAcentral's name for it is "partial small subunit ribosomal RNA". It matches the Rfam family "Eukaryotic small subunit ribosomal RNA", at positions 582 to 975 of the family's 1831-position model. The record is from RNAcentral.